Molecule: non-coding RNA, 108 nt
Organism: Xylaria bambusicola
Lineage: Eukaryota; Fungi; Ascomycota; Sordariomycetes; Xylariales; Xylariaceae
Source: the annotation of a RefSeq genome assembly
GGGAGUCUGGCCGAGUGGUUAAGGCGCUACGUUUAGGAGUCUAUAGACUAGGUUUAUACUCUGUUUCCGUAGUGGGAAACCGCGCAGGUUCGAAUCCUGCGGCUCUCA